This 445-nucleotide ribosomal RNA is filed under the name uncultured bacterium. RNAcentral describes it as "bacterial SSU rRNA". It matches the Rfam family "Bacterial small subunit ribosomal RNA", at positions 310 to 744 of the family's 1533-position model. The record is from RNAcentral.
ACACUGGCACUGAGAUACGGGCCAGACUCCUACGGGAGGCAGCAGUGAGGAAUAUUGCGCAAUGGGGGAAACCCUGACGCAGCAACGGCCGCGUGUGGGAAGAAGGCCUUCGGGUCGUAAAACCACUUUUGCACGGGACGAAAAAAGGGAUAUCGAACAAAUAUCCCCGAUGACGGUACCGUGAGAAUAAGCCACGGCUAACUCUGUGCCAGCAGCCGCGGUAAGACAGAGGUGGCAAGCGUUGUUCGGAAUUACUGGGCGUAAAGAGUCUGUAGGUGGUUUGUCAAGUCUUUGGUGAAAGGCCGUAGCUUAACUAUGGGAAUGCCAAAGAGACUGGCAGGCUGGAGGCUGGGAGAGGGAAGCGGAAUUUCUGGUGUAGCGGUGAAAUGCGUAGAUAUCAGAAGGAAGGCCGGUGGCGAAGGCGGCUUCCUGGAACAGUCCUGAC